This 488-nucleotide ribosomal RNA is filed under the name Eurycercus longirostris. RNAcentral describes it as "bacterial SSU rRNA". It matches the Rfam family "Eukaryotic small subunit ribosomal RNA", at positions 524 to 904 of the family's 1831-position model. Lineage: Eukaryota; Metazoa; Arthropoda; Branchiopoda; Diplostraca; Eurycercidae. The record is from RNAcentral.
UUUAAAUCCUUUAACGAGGACCCAUUGGAGGGCAAGUCUGGUGCCAGCAGCCGCGGUAACUCCAGCUCCAAUAGCGUAUAUUAAAGUUGUUGCGGUUAAAAAGCUCGUAGUCGGAUGUCUGUCUUCGGCCGGGCGGCGCCGCUCUGAAUCAAGGGUGCGCGUUUCGUCUUGGGACUCGGGUGUCAAAGCCCGGGUCUCUUCGCGGUCGGACAACACCGCCGGAGUGGUGACGGUGGUGCUUCGGUGGGGGCUUCGGUCUCCGUCGGGGUGCGCCCCACCCGUAAUCGUGCGGGGUGCCCUUCAUCGGGUGUCUCGCACGGCCGGCAACGUUUACUUUGAACAAAUUAGAGUGCUCAAAGCAGGUGCAACCCACGCCUGAAUAUCACAGCAUGGAAUGAUGGAAGAGGACCUCGGUCUUAUUUUGCUGGUCUUUUCUAGACCCGAGGUAAUGGUCAAUAGAGACGGACGGGGGCAUUCGUACUGCGGCG